Non-coding RNA from Oleoguttula sp. CCFEE 5521, 148 nucleotides. The record is from the annotation of a GenBank genome assembly. NCBI's taxonomy places the organism in Eukaryota, Fungi, Ascomycota, Dothideomycetes, Mycosphaerellales, Teratosphaeriaceae.
UCCCCGAUGGUCUAGUGGUCAUGAUUUCCGCUUGUCAAAGACGAGUUCUAGCUUUCACGAGCGCGGGAGACCAGGUAAGCAGUUUAAUUCACUUGUUGCCAACAUCUUAAUUAACAAAUAUCGUAGGGUUCGAUUCCCUGUCGAGGAG